GUGCACAGUAUUGGCUUGAACUCUAUACCACUUCUGACACGAAAUGGGAAGUGAUUGUCUAUAAAGUUUUCGAAAGUAAUUCUGCUGAAAAAAAGAACCGAGUGGAGCAGAAAUUUCAAUAUAUGGAGAUAACGAGCUUAGUUUAUUUGGUCAUGUUUGACCAUUUCUUCGGGUCCCGUCAUUAGGACAUUUCACAGAAAUUCACCAAAAUAAACGUGUUGAAAGAAAUAUCCACCAUAUUCCUAAAGCUUAUACAAACAAGUAGCAAAAAGAACACGAAGGUUGGAAUUAUUUGAGCAUGCUUAUAUUGCGAAUGUUUACAAAUAUUUUAUAUUUUUUAUAACAAUUUAUACAAUUAGAAAU
Ceratitis capitata (Mediterranean fruit fly) is the source of this 363-nucleotide long non-coding RNA. RefSeq lists it as uncharacterized. Lineage: Eukaryota; Metazoa; Arthropoda; Insecta; Diptera; Tephritidae. The record is from RefSeq and is a predicted model, not a curated record. The transcript is spliced from 3 exons.